UCGGGUCGGGUUCGGUUCAGGUAACCCGAUAAUAAUAUUAUUAUUUUUAUUAAACAUUUAUUUUAAUUUUUAAAUUUUUAUUUUCUUAGUAGGGUUUCAAUUACUUUCAUAUCAUUCAUCCCUUCCAUAAUCCAUCCCAUAUUCCCAGCCGCCGCAGCACACUCCCUUCGUUCGUCCCUUCCAAAUUCCAGCCUCCAGCCGCCGCACUGCCCCGCCCCGCCGCAUCGACGACGACGACGGCCCGGCGCAGCCCCUCUUCGAGUCGCCGCCCCUCUCCCAGAUUUCCAAUCGGCGCGGCUGCUGAAGGAGUCCACGCCGCCGCUGCCGGUUUUCUGGAGUAGUUCCAGUCCUCUUCGAGUCGCCGCCGGCCCGCCCCUCUCCCAGAGUUCCAGUCGCUCCCACAUUGUCGAAUCUCACGGCUCCCUCUUCGCCGCCCCUCUCCCAGAGUUCCAGUCGGCGCGGUCCCUCUUCGUCGCCACCCCUCCCGGCUCCCAGUCGCUCCUCUCACCGGCGACGUCUUCGCAAGCCCGCUGCCGGAGUCGAUUCGCCGCCACCAUUCACAGUAGCAGCAGUAGCCUACAAUUCCCUCAUUUCAAGGUCAAAUUUCUUCCCCUUUUUGAAAUAUAAAAUCAUACUCAGAUUAUUUGAUGCCAUGGAUUAGUUGUCUAUUGUUUUUAUUUGAUGCAUAGUCAGAUUUGAUGCCAUGGAUUUGAUGCAUAAUCUAAUGGAUUUGUUUAUUGUUUACAUAAUCUAAUGAACAACAAUAAUCUGAAAGUGAACAACAAUAGGUCAUGCCCGAACAAACAUUAACAUGAAAAUAAUUUUAUCGAGAAGUUGCAUAAAAGCAGUUGGGGUUUUAGGUAUGCGUUCAAUGUGCACCAAUAAUUUUUUAUGUUUGAGGUAAUUAAGAAUGUGGACCAUUAUUGCUAAGUAUUUUUUAUUUUUUAAAUGGGGUUCAUUACACUUUUUUGGGACUAAAUAUUCAAAAAAAAUAAAAUUGAAUGAUAGACUCGUGGUAUAGUAUAGCAGCAGCCCUAAGUUGUUUAUUGUUUUUAGUGUUUUCAUUUGAUGCAUAGUCUAUUGUUUUUAUUUGAUGCAUAGUCAGAUUAUUUGAUGCCAUUAUAUUAUCUUUGUGUUAUAGGUAAUUAUGUCUAGCAAUGAUGAGUACAAUGAGUACAAUGAUGAAAAUACUUACACGACAUAUACAAGUGAUAUGCCGAGUACUGGUACGCCUGCUGCCCCUGCUGCCCAGCCUGCCCUUGCUGCCCUUGCUGCCACAACUGGAUCAACUGGUUUGGGAACGUCCAAUUCCACAGCUAAGCCCCCAACGAACAAAAGAAAACAAAGGUCAGCUGCUUGGGAUCACUUUAAAGUUACUGUUAGUGUAGAUGGUUCUAAAACAUGUGUGUGUAAGUAUUGUGGCCAUACUUAUCACAAAGUGACAAAUAAAACUGGAACUGGAAACAUGAUACGUCAUUUAGAGGGUUGUCAAAGGAAGAACACACAUGAUGUGGGUGAAUUGGUGACUACAAGUAAAUCAAAAUUUGAUCCUGUUCACUUUAGGGAGUUAUUGUCUGCUGCUAUUGUUGUUCAUGAUUUGCCAUUCCGAUUUGUUGAAUAUGAACAUAUUAUAGCUAUUUUUGAGUAUCUUAAGUGGGAUAUUAAGAUGGUUUCUAGAAAUACAGUGAAGGCUGAUGUUUUGAAAUUGUAUGAAAGAGAAAAGAUGCGGAUUAAGUCUGAAUUGCAAAAAGCAUCUGGUAGAAUGUCCUUGACUUCUGAUUGUUGGAGUUCGAUUACCACUGAUGGUUAUAUUUCUCUUACUUGUCACUUAAUUGAUGAAGAAUGGGUGUUACAUAAGAAGGUCUUGAAUUUUUCUUUGAUGCCAUCUCCUCAUACUGGCGUAGCAUUAUCAAAUAAGUUAUUUUCCAUGCUUUGUGAGUGGGGGAUUGAAAACAAAGUAUUUUCUUUGACUUUGGAUAAUGCUAGUGCAAAUGAUGUGUCUGUUGAGUUGCUGAUAUCACAGUUGAACUUGAAUAAUGCACUUCUUUGAUGCUUGAUAAUGCACUAUAUUAUAGGAAAGCAUUCAUGAAUUUUCAGCUUGUUGAUCCCAACUACAAGCAUUGUCCUUCUUCAGUUGAAUGGGAUAGAAUUGAGAAGAUCCGUGGUUUCUUGAGCUUGUUUUAUGAUGUCUCGAACUUGUUUUCUGGUAGUAAGUAUCCUACAGCAAAUUUGUAUUUUCAGCCAGUUGUCAUGUGCUAUAGUUCAUUGAGACAAAGUUGCAACAGCCCCGAUGUUUAUAUAAAGAAAAUGGCUGAUAAGAUGCUACCAAAGUUUGAGAAGUAUUGGUCGGAGUUUAGUUUGAUUUUGACUAUAGCUGUGGUCUUUGAUCCACGCUAUAAGUUUCAGUUUGUGGAGUUCUUUUAUAAGAAGUUGUAUGGCCCUAACUCUCGUCAGUGUCUACUAGUAAGAGAGAAGUUAUUUGCUCUAUUUGAAGAAUAUUGUAAGAGCAACAAUGAUAGUUUUGGUCUUGCUAAAAGUGGGGAGCUGACAUCAAAUGAUCCAAGCUGUGGAUUCACAAAUGAAGAAUCUAAAGCGGUGGUUGAGGUAAAUUACUAAAUUAAUUGUAUUGAUUCUUUAAUCCAUUUAAAUUUAUGCAUAUAACUGCUUUUGGUAUCAUAUCUUGUUGCUGCCCUCUAAACUAAAUCUACUUAGUUAUGUUUUUUGAUGUCAUAUCUUGGAAAAUGUUAAAGUAUGCAUAUAAGAUGUUUUUUGAGUUGUGACCAUUGCAUUUAAUUACAGGAAUUUAGUGCCUUGGAUGAGUUUGGAUUAAGUGAACAAAAGUCGCAAUUGGAGUUGUAUAUGCAAGAAGCAAGGUUGGAUGCCAAAUCCAAUCUUGAUGUUCUUGGCUUUUGGAAAGGGAAUCAAUAUAAGUAUCCACAAGUAGCUCACAUGGCUCGUGAUAUUUUGAGCAUUCCCAUAACUACGGUUGCUUCAGAAGCUGUUUUUAGUGUUGGUGGAAGAGUACUUGAUCAAUACCGUAGCUCACUUAAAGCAAGCACAGUGGAAGCAAUUAUUUGCACUAGAGAUUGGUUGUUUGGAGAAAAAGGUAUGAGUUUUUGUGUUAUUAAUGUUAACAUUUUAUAUUAUUGGUAUAUAUUUAAUAUUAAUUCAUAUUUUUUCGUUCAAAGCCUUCAAAAGCGAAAUACCAACAUCUGAGUUAGCCGAAGACUUUCUACAUGGCGAUGAUGAACCUCAAACCGAAUCUUCUUCGGUCUCCACUAUUGCUGUUGCAUGAAGGCUUUGACUUAGUCUAGUUAUGUUUUGAUUUGUUAAGCUCACUUGGAUUAUGUUGUAGUUAUGAGAGGGAUUGACGACUCUUGGUUGACUUGAUGCAUUGUUAUUUUCAUUUGAGCUUAUUAUAUUUUGUUAAGCUUAUUGGUUAAAUGUUUUAUAUUGAUUGUAUUUUUAGUUUGGCAUAUGUUGAAUUGUUGAUUUAUUAUGUUGAUUGUUGAGCAUAUGUGAUGAAUUUUGUAUUUUUUUUAAUAUUAUUAUUCAUGUGAAUGAAUCAAAUCAAAUUCGUGUUGUUAUUAGGUCGUAAUCAGAUCGUGCU
Molecule: long non-coding RNA, 3610 nt
Filed under: Salvia miltiorrhiza (redroot sage)
Lineage: Eukaryota; Viridiplantae; Streptophyta; Magnoliopsida; Lamiales; Lamiaceae
Description: long non-coding RNA (SMIL_LNC008105)
Source: RNAcentral